CUAGAAGACUUUUCUGAUUCCUCCAGUCUUGAGUACAUUCAUAGCAUCCCAGGGAGGCCUUCCUGUUGCUUCUGGCAGACUAUUACAGAAGAUUCAGAUAAUCUUAAUUCAGUUGUAAAGACAUGACUACAUGUGAUUAGCUCUUCUUUCUGCAAUAUAGUAAUUUACAAAUCCCAACAGGAAGCUUGUCAUGUUUAUCAAGUGAUCCUCUUUGGUAGUUCCUGAGCUUCAAUGUUAUGCACUCUCCCAUAAGAUUACUCCAAGUCUGCUGGCCUUCUCAGACACUGCUUUCUGCAUCUCUGUGCUUGGAUCUAGACCACAAUUUCUUAUAAACGAGAAAAUGCUAUAGCUAAAAUGGGCCAAUGUACACCUCAGGCUGUUGCUUCAGAGGCUGCAAGCCCCAAACAUUGGCAGCUUCCACAUGUGUUUGACUUAUGGGUACACAGAAGUCAAGAAUUGAGGUUUGGGGACCUCCACCUAGAUUUCAGAGGGUGUAUGGAAUGGCUGGAUGUCCAGGCAGAAGUCUGCUGCAGGGGCAGAGCCCUCAUGGAGAACCUCUAGUUUAGUACAGGGGAGAAAUGUGGGGUUGGAGACCCCACACAGAAUCCCACUGGGGCACUGCCUAGUGGAGCUGUGAGAAGAAGGUCACUGUCCUCCAGAUGCCAGAAUGGUAGACACACUGACAGAUUGCACUGUGCACCUGGAAAAGCCACAGACACUCAACACUGGCCAGUGAAGGCAGCCAGGAGGGGAGCUGUACCUUACAAAGCCACAGGAGUGGAGCUGCCCAAGGCUGUGGGAGCCCAUCUCUUGUGUCAGUAUGCCCUGGAUGUGAGACAUGAAGUCAAAGGAGAUCAUUUUGGAACUUUAAGGUUUGACUGUCCUAUUGGAUUUUGGACUUGCACGGAGCCUGUAGCCCCUUUGCUUUGGCCUCCCAUUUGAAACUGGUAUAUUCACCCAAUGCCUGUACUCCCAUUGUAUCUAAGAAGUAAGUAUCUUGCUUUUGAUUUUACAGGCUCAUAGGUGGAAGGGACUUGUCUUAUCUCAGAUGAGACUUUGGACUUGGACUUUUGAGUUAAUUCUGGGAUGAGUUAAGACUUUGGGGGACUGUUGGAAGGGCAUGAUUGUGUUUUAAUAUGUGAGGACAUGAGAUUUGGGAGGGGCCAGGGGAAGAAUAAUAUGGUUUGGCCAUGUCCCUACCCAAAUCUCAUCUUGGAUUCUAGCUCCCAUAAUCCCCAUGUGCGGUGGAAAGGACCCAGUGGGAGGUAACAGAAUCAUGGGGGUGGGUUUUUCCCAUGUUAUUCUCAUGAGAGUCAAUAAGUCUCAUGAUAUCUGAUGGUUUUAUAUAGGGCGGUUCCCCUGCACACAUGCUCUUGCCUGCCACCCAGUAAGAUGUGGUUUUGUUCCUCCUUCGCCUUCCGCCAUGAUUGUGAGGCCUCCCUAGCCAUAUGGAACUGUGAG
RNAcentral lists this long non-coding RNA (1461 nucleotides) under Homo sapiens (human). RNAcentral's name for it is "HSALNT0057228". The record is from RNAcentral. Lineage: Eukaryota; Metazoa; Chordata; Mammalia; Primates; Hominidae.